Molecule: ribosomal RNA, 922 nt
Filed under: Candovia sp. D AC-2020
Lineage: Eukaryota; Metazoa; Arthropoda; Insecta; Phasmatodea; Lonchodidae
Description: SSU rRNA
Rfam family: Eukaryotic small subunit ribosomal RNA
Source: RNAcentral
GCAGCAGGCGCGCAAAUUACCCACUCCCGGCACGGGGAGGUAGUGACGAAAAAUAACGAUACGGGACUCAUCCGAGGCCCCGUAAUCGGAAUGAGUACACUCUAAACCCUUUAACGAGUAUCCAUUGGAGGGCAAGUCUGGUGCCAGCAGCCGCGGUAAUUCCAGCUCCAAUAGCGUAUAUUAAAGUUGUUGCGGUUAAAAAGCUCGUAGUUGGACUUGUGUCCCACUCUGUCGGUUCACCGUUNGUCGGUGUUAACUGGCAUGCCUGUGUGGACGUCCUGCCGGUGGAUGCGGUCGGCCGUGGGCCUCUGGUCUGCGUGUCGGCGGUCCGAUGCAAUCCUACCGCGGUGCUCUUCACCGAGUGUCGAGGUGGGCCGGCACGUUUACUUUGAACAAAUUAGAGUGCUCAAAGCAGGCAGUGGUUCGCCUGAAUAUUGUGUGCAUGGAAUAAUGGAAUAGGACCUCGGUUCUAUUUUGUUGGUUUUCGGAACCUGAGGUAAUGAUUAAUAGGGACAGACGGGGGCAUUCGUAUUGCGACGUUAGAGGUGAAAUUCUUGGAUCGUCGCAAGACGAACCUAAGCGAAAGCAUUUGCCAUGAGUGUUUUCAUUAAUCAAGAACGAAAGUUAGAGGUUCGAAGGCGAUCAGAUACCGCCCUAGUUCUAACCAUAAACGAUGCCAGCUAGCGAUCCGCCGAAGUUCCUCCGAUGACUCGGCGGGCAGCUUCCGGGAAACCAAAGCUUUUGGGUUCCGGGGGAAGUAUGGUUGCAAAGCUGAAACUUAAAGGAAUUGACGGAAGGGCACCACCAGGAGUGGAGCCUGCGGCUUAAUUUGACUCAACACGGGAAACCUCACCAGGCCCGGACACCGGAAGGAUUGACAGAUUGAUAGCUCUUUCUUGAUUCGGUGGGUGGUGGUGCAUGG